GGAUGUGAGGACGAUCAGGCUGUGAGACCUGUCACCCCAUUGAUCACCAGGGUUGAUUUGGUUGAACUGGCCAACUAGGCAGGUGUCCCCUUCCUCCCUCACCAUUCCAUGAGCGUCCCUCCCAAAGCUGCAUGCUUGGCUUGGUUGAAGAGGAUGACCAUCCCCGAUAGGACAGGUCUUCAGUCAAGGGUAUAUGAGUAGCUGCGUUCCCCACUAGAACCUCCAAACAUGAUUAAGAGAAGCUAAAUUCUGAAAGACCUGAUAGAGAAGUUGUAACCUAUAACUUGGUAUCAAAAAUUUGAGUGAUCCACUAUGUU
RNAcentral lists this small nuclear RNA (317 nucleotides) under Cebus imitator (Panamanian white-faced capuchin). Its description in RNAcentral is "7SK RNA (ENSCCAG00000009306.1)". It matches the Rfam family "7SK RNA". From Rfam's summary of the family: 7SK was discovered as an abundant small nuclear RNA in the mid-70s but a possible function has only recently been suggested. Two independent studies have found that 7SK RNA binds the CDK9/cyclin T complex (known as elongation factor P-TEFb). P-TEFb activates transcription by phosphorylating the C-terminal domain of RNA polymerase II. Lineage: Eukaryota; Metazoa; Chordata; Mammalia; Primates; Cebidae. The record is from Rfam by way of RNAcentral.